RNAcentral lists this ribosomal RNA (253 nucleotides) under uncultured bacterium. RNAcentral describes it as "partial 16S ribosomal RNA". It matches the Rfam family "Bacterial small subunit ribosomal RNA", at positions 524 to 776 of the family's 1533-position model. The record is from RNAcentral.
UACAGAGGGUGCGAGCGUUGUCCGGAAUCACUGGGCGUAAAGGGCGCGUAGGCGGCUUGAUAAGCGUGCGGUGAAAGCCCGGGGCUCAACCCCGGGUCGGCCGUGCGAACUGUCGAGCUGGAGCACUGUAGAGGCAGGUGGGAUUCCGGGUGUAGCGGUGGAAUGCGUAGAGAUCCGGAAGAACACCGGUGGCGAAGGCGGCCUGCUGGGCAGUGGCCGACGCUGAGGCGCGACAGCGUGGGGAGCAAACAGG